Molecule: ribosomal RNA, 189 nt
Filed under: uncultured soil bacterium
Lineage: Bacteria
Description: partial 16S ribosomal RNA
Rfam family: Bacterial small subunit ribosomal RNA
Source: RNAcentral
AGAUUGAACGCUGGCGGCAUGCCUUACACAUGCAAGUCGAACGGCAGCACGGGAGCAAUCCUGGUGGCGAGUGGCGAACGGGUGAGUAAUAUAUCGGAACGUGCCCAGUCGUGGGGGAUAACGUAGAGAAAUUUACGCUAAUACCGCAUACGAUCCAAGGAUGAAAGCGGGGGACCUAAGGCCUCGCGC